UCAGAACGAACGCUGGCGGCGUGCUUACACAUGCAAGUCGAACGCGAAAGUUCCUUCGGGAGACGAGUAGAGUGGCGCACGGGUGAGUAACGCGUAAGUAAUCUGCCCCUGUGUUCGGAAUAACCCACCGAAAGGUGUGCUAAUACCGGAUACGCUGGAAACAGGAAAGAUGGCCUCUUCAUGAAAGCUAUCGCACAGGGAGGAGCUUGCGUACCAUUAGCUGGUUGGUAGGGUAAAGGCCUACCAAGGCGACGAUGGUUAGCGGGUCUGAGAGGAUGAUCCGCCACACUGGAACUGAAACACGGACCAGACUCCUACGGGAGGCAGCAGUGAGGAAUAUUGCGCAAUGGGGGAAACCCUGACGCAGCGACGCCGCGUGGAUGAUGAAGGCCUUCGGGUCGUAAAAUCCUGUCAGAUGGGAAGAAAUGCCUGCAGGUUAACAGCCUGUGAGUUUGACGGUACCAUCAAAGGAAGCACCGGCUAACUCCGUGCCAGCAGCCGCGGUAAUACGGAGGGUGCAAGCGUUGUUCGGAGUUACUGGGCGUAAAGCGCGCGUAGGCGGUUUGUUAAGUCAGAUGUGAAAGCCCAUGGCUCAACCAUGGACGUGCAUUUGAUACUGGCAGGCUUGAGUACUGGAGGGGGUAGUGGAAUUCCCGGUGUAGAGGUGAAAUUCGUAGAUAUCGGGAGGAAUACCGGUGGCGAAGGCGACUACCUGGCCAGAUACUGACGCUGAUGUGCGAAAGCAUGGGGAGCAAACAGGAUUAGAUACCCUGGUAGUCCAUGCCGUAAACGAUGUGAACUAGGUGUUGGGAUGGUUAAUCGUCUCAUUGCCGCAGCUAACGCAUUAAGUUCACCGGCUGGGGAGUACGGUCGCAAGAUUUAAACUCCAAGGAAUUGACGGGGGCCCGACAAGCCGUGAGUAUGUGGUUUAAUCGACGCAACGCGCAGAACCUUACCUGGUCUUGACAUCCCGGGAAAUUCUCUGGAAACACGGAAGUGCCUCUUUGAAGAACCUGGUGACAGGUGCUGCAUGGCUGUCGUCAGCUCGUGUCGUGAGAUGUUGGGUUAAGUCCCGCAACGAGCGCAACCCCUAUCUUUAGUUGCCAUCAUUAAGUUGGGCACUCUAGAGAGACUGCCGGUGUCAAACCGGAGGAAGGUGGGGAUGACG
This 1168-nucleotide ribosomal RNA is filed under the name uncultured organism. Its description in RNAcentral is "bacterial SSU rRNA". It matches the Rfam family "Bacterial small subunit ribosomal RNA", at positions 24 to 1184 of the family's 1533-position model. The record is from RNAcentral.